Molecule: ribosomal RNA, 322 nt
Filed under: uncultured eukaryote
Lineage: Eukaryota
Description: partial 18S ribosomal RNA
Rfam family: Eukaryotic small subunit ribosomal RNA
Source: RNAcentral
CCCUUAGAUGUUCUGGGCCGCACGUGUGCUACACUGAGUGGAUCAGCGGGUCAGGUUGCGCGAAAGCGUUUCCUAAUCUUUAAAUCCGCUCGUGAUGGGGAUUGACGGUUGCAAUUUUCUGUCAUGAACGAGGAAUACCUUGUAAGCGCGGGUCAUCAUCCCGCGCUGAAUACGUCCCUGCCCUUUGUACACACCGCCCGUCGCUCCUACCGAUUGAGUGGUCCGGUGAGGCUUUGGGAUCUGAGCGGAAAGAGCGUUUCGCUGUUUCUGCUCGGAAAACUCAGUCGAACCUUAUCAUUUAGAGGAAGGAGAAGUCGUAACA